CCGUAACUAUAACGGUCCUAAGGUAGCGAAAUUCCUUGUCGGGUAAGUUCCGACCUGCACGAAUGGCGUAAUGAUGGCCAGGCUGUCUCCACCCGAGACUCAGUGAAAUUGAACUCGCUGUGAAGAUGCAGUGUACCCGCGGCAAGACGGAAAGACCCCGUGAACCUUUACUAUAGCUUGACACUGAACAUUGAGCCUUGAUGUGUAGGAUAGGUGGGAGGCUUUGAAGUGUGGACGCCAGUCUGCAUGGAGCCGACCUUGAAAUACCACCCUUUAAUGUUUGAUGUUCUAACGUGGACCCGUAAUCCGGGUUGCGGACAGUGUCUGGUGGGUAGUUUGACUGGGGCGGUCUCCUCCUAAAGAGUAACGGAGGAGCACGAAGGUUGGCUAAUCCUGGUCGGACAUCAGGAGGUUAGUGCAAUGGCAUAAGCCAGCUUGACUGCGAGCGUGACGGCGCGAGCAGGUGCGAAAGCAGGUCAUAGUGAUCCGGUGGUUCUGAAUGGAAGGGCCAUCGCUCAACGGAUAAAAGGUACUCCGGGGAUAACAGGCUGAUACCGCCCAAGAGUUCAUAUCGACGGCGGUGUUUGGCACCUCGAUGUCGGCUCAUCACAUCCUGGGGCUGAAGUAGGUCCCAAGGGUAUGGCUGUUCGCCAUUUAAAGUGGUACGCGAGCUGGGUUUAGAACGUCGUGAGACAGUUCGGUCCCUAUCUGCCGUGGGCGCUGGAGAACUGAGGGGGGCUGCUCCUAGUACGAGAGGACCGGAGUGGACGCAUCACUGGUGUUCGGGUUGUCAUGCCAAUGGCACUGCCCGGUAGCUAAAUGCGGAAGAGAUAAGUGCUGAAAGCAUCUAAGCACGAAACUUGCCCCGAGAUGAGUUCUCCCUGAGACUUAGAGUCUCCUGAAGGAACGUUGAAGACGACGACGUUGAUAGGCCGGGUGUGUAAGCGCAGCGAUGCGUUGAGCUAACCGGUACUAAUGAACCGUGAGGCUUAACCUUACA
This 1000-nucleotide ribosomal RNA is filed under the name Salmonella enterica. RNAcentral describes it as "partial 23S ribosomal RNA". It matches the Rfam family "Bacterial large subunit ribosomal RNA", at positions 1934 to 2925 of the family's 2925-position model. Lineage: Bacteria; Pseudomonadati; Pseudomonadota; Gammaproteobacteria; Enterobacterales; Enterobacteriaceae. The record is from RNAcentral. RNAcentral also lists the same sequence under 1 other name.